GCUUGGAGCCGCAGGGCUUAAUCCCGCGCGGCUCAGAGAUGGGUUUCUGGACUCGCGAAGCAGCUGCAACAAGGCAUCACUCACUGUAUAAGUACUUCCAUUUCUGAGAGCAAAAGGAAGAACUUAAGCGGGCGGCACUUGGAGUGUAAAUUGCUUUGUAGUAUUUAAAGGCAGAAUGGAUCCUGGGCAGCCGAGCUGCAACAAACUGGCAGGACUUCCUGUGAAAUCAUGACCACCAUGUGCUCUUUCAGCCUCCAUCAAUUCCUACCUCUAAGCACCUGAGAGCCAAAGCAAACCACAGGAAACCACAGACUCAAACUAAACAUCAGCUUUUCCCGGCUCUCAAGCCUGCUGGUCCCUGAACUAAAACUCACAUUAUCAACUCUACUGGUUCUUAGGCCUUUGGAGUCAGACUGGAACUACAGCAUUGACUCUUCCGGAACUCCAGGUUACUGAUUACAGAUCUUGGAACUUUUCAGCUUCCACAACCAUAAUGAAAGCCAAGCAUAUUCCAUCAUUUCCUAAAACCAAGAUAGAGCACAUACGGGAACUUGCGAAAUAAG
This 563-nucleotide long non-coding RNA is filed under the name Pan troglodytes (chimpanzee). Its description in RNAcentral is "lincRNA". Lineage: Eukaryota; Metazoa; Chordata; Mammalia; Primates; Hominidae. The record is from RNAcentral.